Mya arenaria is the source of this 367-nucleotide long non-coding RNA. RefSeq lists it as uncharacterized. The transcript is spliced from 3 exons. The record is from RefSeq and is a predicted model, not a curated record. NCBI's taxonomy places the organism in Eukaryota, Metazoa, Mollusca, Bivalvia, Myida, Myidae.
CUUUGAUACGGUUGAACCCAUGUAAAUAAUACUCUUUUUUGUAAAAAUUUGGGAUACUUUCUGUGUUUGAAGAGUUCUCGCUGUGCGCUGGUCGGCCAUCUUGAAAAAAAAUUGUGAAGGUCGUAUAUCCAGCUUUCCUGUGAUGAGAUGCCAUACACAGGGGAUCCGACAGAAGACAGCAGACAGAAUUCGUCGAUGUAUUUGAAAUGUCAUUGUUUAUUUGAAAAAGGUUACCUAUCCACACUUAUUGCACAGUUGCUUUUUGUUUUAUCAGUAAUUCUCCAAAAUUUGUAGUUCGUGUCUAACAUGAUCAUUGAAAUUUUAACAUACAGUAAAUAAUUUCAAAAAAUAAUAAUCAAAUGGAGAA